This 2810-nucleotide ribosomal RNA is filed under the name human gut metagenome. RNAcentral's name for it is "bacterial LSU rRNA". It matches the Rfam family "Bacterial large subunit ribosomal RNA". The record is from RNAcentral.
AGAGCGUAGGGUGAAUGCCUUGGCAUUAAGAGCCGAAGAAGGACGCGGUUAACUGCGAAAAGCCAUGGGGAGCUGUAAGCAAGCAUUGAUCCAUGGAUAUCCGAAUGGGGAAACCCGGCGGUCGUAAUGGGCCGUCACCGUUACAUGAAUAAAUAGUGUAACGGGGGGAACCCGGUGAACUGAAACAUCUAAGUAGCCGGAGGAAGAGAAAGAAAGAUCGAUUUUCUUAGUAGCGGCGAGCGAACGGGAAAGAGGCCAAACCGGGACUCUACGGAGUACCGGGGUUGAGGACCUGCGGAAUCGAAGUUGGAGAUAGUCGAAGACGGUUGGAAAGCCGAACCGGAGAGGGUAAAAGUCCCGUAGGCGAAAUCGAAGACGAGAGGCGGGUAUCCAGAGUACCACAGGACACGAGUAAUCCGGUGGGAAGCAGGGGGGUCCACCCCCCAAGCCUAAAUACUACUUAAUGACCGAUAGCGUAUAGUACCGUGAGGGAAAGGUGAAAAGAACCCCGGGAGGGGAGUGAAAGAGAACCUGAAACCCUAUGUUUACAAGCAGAGGGAGCGAAAGCGACCUCGUACUUUUUGUAGAACGGGCCGGCGAGUUACUGUGUGCAGCGAGGUUAAGGCGUAGAGCGCCGGAGCCGAAGCGAGAGCGAGUCUGAAGAGGGCGAAAGUUGUGCGCAGUAGACCCGAAACCGGGUGACCUAUCCAUGGACAGGAUGAAGCGGCGGUAAGACGCCGUGGAGGUCCGAACCACACGUAUGUUGAAAAAUGCGGGGAUGAGCUGUGGAUAGCGGAGAAAUUCCAAUCGAACUCGGAGAUAGCUGGUUCUCCCCGAAAUAGCUUUAGGGCUAGCCUCGUUUUAAAUUACCGGGGGUAGAGCACUGAAUGGGCUAGGGGGCCACAAAGCUUACCGAACCCUAUCAAACUUCGAAUACCGGAUAAUUGAUGAACGGGAGUCAGACGGCGGGAGAUAAGUUUCGUCGUCAAAAGGGAAACAGCCCAGAUCUACGACUAAGGUCCCGAAAUCACAGUUAAGUGGAAAAGGAUGUGCAGUUGCACAGACAACCAGGAUGUUGGCUUAGAAGCAGCCACUCAUUUAAAGAGUGCGUAAUAGCUCACUGGUCGAGUGAUUGUGCGCCGAAAAUGUACCGGGGCUAAACUGUGUACCGAAGUCUAGGGAUCGUGAUAAACGAUCGGUAGGGGAGCAACGUGUGCGGGCUGAAGCCGAAGCGAAAGCGACGGUGGACUGCACGGGAGAGAGAAUGCCGGCAUGAGUAGCGAGAGCAAAGUGAGAAUCUUUGCCGUCGAAAGCCUAAGGUUUCCUGAGGAAGGCUCGUCCUCUCAGGGUAAGUCAGGACCUAAGCCGAGGACAAAAGUCGUAGGCGAUGGACAACUGGUUGAUAUUCCAGUACCACCUUUAGCGUUUGACUGAAGCAGUGACACAGAAGGAUAGACAGAGCGCGUGACUGGUAGAGCGCGUCCAAGCGAUGAGGGAGUUAAGUAGUGAAGCACGCUUAACAAUCCUGGGUCGUGAUGGGGACUGAAAAUAAGUAGGGAAGCUGUUGAAUUCACGCUGGCGAGAAAAGCUGCUAAGGAGCGAAAGGGUGCCUGUACCGCAAACCGACACAGGUAGGCGAGGAGAGAAUCCUAAGACGAGCGGGAGAACCCAUGUUAAGGAACUCGGCAAAAUGACCCUGUAACUUCGGGAUAAAGGGAGCCACGAGAGUGGCCGCAGAGAAUAGGCCCAAGCGACUGUUUACCAAAAACACAGGUCUGUGCGAAGUAGAGAUACGACGUAUACGGGCUGACGCCUGCCCAGUGCCGGAAGGUUAAGGGGAAGUGUUAGGGCAACCGAAGCACGGAACUUAAGCCCCGGUGAACGGCGGCCGUAACUAUAACGGUCCUAAGGUAGCGAAAUUCCUUGUCGGGUAAGUUCCGACCCGCACGAAUGGUGUAACGAUUUGGGUACUGUCUCAACAAGGGACCCGGCGAAAUUGUAGUAUGUGUGAAGAUGCACAUUACCCGCGAUAGGACGGAAAGACCCCGUAGAGCUUUACUGUAGUUUAACAUUGGAUUCCGGUAACAUAUGCACAGGAUAGGUGGGAGGCGGAGAAGCAGUGAUUUCGGUUGCUGCAGAGCCGACGUUGGGAUACCACUCUUGUGUUACUGGGGUUCUAACCUGUGGCCGUGAUCCGGCACAGGAACAGUGUUAGAUGGGCAGUUUGACUGGGGCGGUCGCCUCCAAAAGAGUAACGGAGGCGUCCAAAGGUUCCCUCAGAAUGGUUGGAAACCAUUCGAAGAGUACAAAGGCAGAAGGGAGCCUGACUGCGAGACCGACAGGUCGAGCAGGGACGAAAGUCGGGCUUAGUGAUCCGGCGGUAUAGAGUGGAAUUGCCGUCGCUCAACGGAUAAAAGCUACCUCGGGGAUAACAGGCUUAUCUCCCCCAAGAGUCCACAUCGACGGGGAGGUUUGGCACCUCGAUGUCGGCUCGUCGCAUCCUGGGGCUGGAUUAGGUCCCAAGGGUUUGGCUGUUCGCCAAUUAAAGCGGCACGCGAGCUGGGUUCAGAACGUCGUGAGACAGUUCGGUCCCUAUCCAUCGUGGGCGCAGGAGAUUUGAGAGGAGCUGUCCCUAGUACGAGAGGACCAGGAUGGACGCACCAAGGGUGAAUCAGUUGUUCUGCCAAGAGCAUAGCUGGGUAGCCAAGUGCGGAUCGGAUAAACGCUGAAGGCAUCUAAGCGUGAAGCCGACUUCAAGAUAAGAUCUCCCAUCCGCAAGGAGUAAGGCCCCAUGUAGACCACAUGGUUGA